UUUUUGUAAUUUUUCAUAUUAGCAUUUUCCCAUUCUAAAUAGCAUUUUCUUGACUAUUUAUAAACACUUUUCAAUCUUUCAAGAAUUUCAAUAAGAGUUUUCGCCUUCUAGUCUCUUAUCUCUAUUAUUUCGUCUUACCCAAACGUUAUUGGUUAAAACUCCUGACGAUGUCUAUUCCACCGUUUAAGGGUCAAUUUUGUAUUUUGAUAAUUUUUUUAGAUUUUUAUGUAAUUUUUCAUAUUAGCGUUUUUCUAUUAUAGAUAGCAUUUUAUUGGCUGUUUAUUUACACUUUUCAAUCUUUUAAGAAUUUCAAUAAGAGUUUUCAGCUUCUAAACUCUUGUUUCUAUUAUUUCGUCUUAGCCAAACGUUAUUAGUCAAAACUCCUGACUGUGUCUAAUCAUUCUAAAUUCCAUAGUUUAGGGAUUAUUUUUGCAUUUUGUUUGUCUUUUAGCCUCUUAUUUCUAUUGUUUCGUCUUAGCCAAACGUUAUUGGUUAAAACUCCUAAUGAUGUCUAAUCAGUCUAAAUUAAAUCGUUUAGGGAUUAUUUUUGCAUUUUGUUUGUCUUUUUAGAUUUCUUUAUAAUUUUCCAUAUUAAACUUUUUCUAUUAUAAAUCGUCUUUGCUUGACUAUUUAUAAACACUUUGCAAUCUUUUAAGAAUUUCAACAAGAAUUUUCGACUUUUAGCCUCAUGUUUCUAUUGUUUCGUCUUAGCCAAACAUUAUUAGUUAAAACUCCUGACAGUGUCUAAUCAGUCUAAAUUCCACCGUUUAGGGGUUAUUUUUGCAUUUUGUUUGUCUUUUUAGAUUUUAUUUAUAAUUUUCCAUAUUAAAGUUUUUUCUAUUAUAAAUCGUCUUUGCUUGACUAUUUAUAAACACUUUUCAAUUUUUCAAGAAUUUUAAUAAGAAUUUUCGACUUUUAGCCUCUUGUUUAUAUUGUUUCAUCUUAGCCAAACGUUAUUGAUUAAAACUCCUGACGGUGUCUAAUCAGUCUAAAUUCCACCAUUUAGGGAUUAUUUUUGCAUUUUGUUUGUCUUUUUAUAUUUUUUUAUAAUUUUCCAUAUUAAAGUUUUUUCUAUUAUAAAUCGUCUUUGCUUGACUAUUUAUAAAUACUUUUUAAUUUUUCAAGAAUUUCAAUAAGAGUUUUCGACUUUUAGCCUCUUGUUUCUAUUGUUUCAUCUUAACCAAACGUUAAUGGUUAAAACUCCUGACGGUGUCUAAUCAGUCUAAAUUCCAUCGUUUAGGGUGUCAAUUUUGCAUUUUGAUUAUUUUUUGAAUUUUUUUGUAU
This 1284-nucleotide long non-coding RNA is filed under the name Manihot esculenta (cassava). Its description in RNAcentral is "long non-coding RNA (MESC_LNC005348)". The record is from RNAcentral. Lineage: Eukaryota; Viridiplantae; Streptophyta; Magnoliopsida; Malpighiales; Euphorbiaceae.